CCUACGGGUGGCAGCAGUGAGGAAUAUUGGUCAAUGGCCGGAAGGCUGAACCAGCCAUGCCGCGUGAAGGUCAGUGCCCUAUGGGCGUUAAACUUCUUUUGUGCGGGAGCAAUAAUGGUCACGUGUGGCCAGACGAGAGUACCGUACGAAUAAGCAUCGGCUAACUCCGUGCCAGCAGCCGCGGUAAUACGGGGGAUGCAAGCGUUAUCCGGGUUUAUUGGGUUUAAAGGGGGCGUAGGCUGUGAGGUAAGUCAGCGGUGAAAUGCCAGCGCUCAACGGGGUGAAGUGCCAUUGAUACUGCCGUGCUGGAAUGCGCAUGCCGUGGGAGGAAUGUGUGGUGUAGCGGUGAAAUGCAUAGAUAUCACACAGAACACCGAUUGCGAAGGCAUCUCACGAAUCCGCGAUUGACGCUGAUGCACGAAAGCGUGGGUAUCAAACAGGAUUAGAUACCCGGGUAGUC
This 460-nucleotide ribosomal RNA is filed under the name uncultured bacterium. RNAcentral describes it as "partial 16S ribosomal RNA". It matches the Rfam family "Bacterial small subunit ribosomal RNA", at positions 338 to 795 of the family's 1533-position model. The record is from RNAcentral.